AACGAACGCUGGCGGCGUGGAUUAGGCAUGCAAGUCGAACGAGGGAGCAUCCCGAAAGGGAUGCAAACCGAGUGGCGUAAGGGUGAGUAAUACAUUGAUAACCUACCUCCAAGAUGGGAAUAACAACGUUCCAAGCAAUUGGGGCUACCGAAAGGGUUGCUAAUACUCAAUAAAAUUAUUGUUGCUUCGGCAAUAAUAGUCAAAUAGGCGGAAUCGAAAGAUUCCGCUUGCUUGAAGAGGGGUCAAUGUCCUAUCAGCUAGUUGUGGGGAAUAGGCCCACCAAGGCGAAGACGGGUAGCCGGCCUGAGAGGGUGUCGGCCACACUGGGACUGAGAUACUGCCCAGACUCCUACGGGAGGCUGCAGUCGAGAAUCUUUCGCAAUGCCCGAAAGGGUGACGAAGCGACGCCGCGUGC
Molecule: ribosomal RNA, 415 nt
Filed under: uncultured bacterium
Lineage: Bacteria
Description: bacterial SSU rRNA
Rfam family: Bacterial small subunit ribosomal RNA
Source: RNAcentral